UCUCGUGAGUCAGUGCUGCAGCUUUAUUUUCCCUUCCCACAUAGGCACAAGGCACAGCACGGUUGCUGUCGUUUCGUUCUGUGCGCUGGCAUAGGCUCUCAUGGUGAAACGAGACUUGCAGAAGGAGAAGCAGCAGGAGCUCGCUGCUAUUUGGGGCAGUGAGGUCCAAGGGGAUGCACGCUUUCCUAAACGGCGCAGAGCCGCUCAAAAGAAGGGUCUUGGUGCUGUCGAGGACAACGACGACGUAGACCCAGCCGCCCUGUCAGACAUUGGAAGCGAUGCCGGAAGCAUCACGAGCAAGCACAGCGAUACGGCAAAGAAGGAAACGAGGAAGACCGUCAAAAAGGAGAGCACCGACUAUCGCCUCCAUUGCUUUGUCGAACCUGGCACGGAACUGAACGCCGUUCGGACCGUCUUUGAGGCCUACGAGCCCAAGGUCGAAAUUCGUACAGCGCAGAAGGGCAAUUUGCUCAACAAGUCACAGUUUGCAGUGCUCACGUUUCGCAACAAGGCAAUGGCGCUGCAUGCGGUGAAGAAGCUUGACGGAACCAAUCAGCGUGAUCUUCUGGGUGUGAGUAGCCUGAAGCUGAACCUUAUGCUGACAAGGCAGCAGAGCAAGAUUGCGCGCAAAACGUUCAACCGAAAGAUCCGCCAUGAGAAGGAGCGAAAUCAGCUCAUGGAAGCGCAAGAAGACAUGGCGUUUAUUCGAAACUUUUUGAAGCAGCAUAGCGGUGCAAAGAAGGGCAAGCAAGACGGGAAAAUGCUCAGUCUCUCGUGAUGUGGUUGAAUCACCAUGUGUGUGUGUGUGUGUGUGUGUGUGUGUGUGUGUGCGUGCGUGCCGAGAUGUGCAGUGCGACCGAUGGAAUCUCGUCGACAGCCACACUGAGCGAAGCGUUCAAUAAACACGAGUAACCCUUCUUUUCUAAGCCUGUCUGAGCGUCUACGCCACUGAAGUACUUCCUCUCGUAACUGAGAUGGCAAGCAAAGGCGUUUGGAAAGGUGCACAUCCUACCCCCGCCCCAACCUUUCUAUUCUCGCCUUGCCUUUCCCUGUUGCAGAGCUGCGAAUCGAAUGGUCGCGCUUCGCCUUUUUGUUUCUCUCGUUCCUGUAGUGAAUGUAGAAACAGUUCAUACUCAAUGGAAGACUCUUGCAGCUCCCGUCAUCCAGUCGAAAGCAGUACGCAUGCCUGCUCCGUCCAUCAUUCCCUCACAGGCUCUACGCCUGCCGACAGGCCGGUCUCUCUCUCCCUCACCCCUCAUUGUUUCACCCUUUUACUCCUCGAAG
This 1284-nucleotide unclassified non-coding RNA is filed under the name Leishmania donovani. RNAcentral's name for it is "gene:LdHU3.11.0090(CDS-product:RNA_recognition_mo tif._(a.k.a._RRM_RBD_or_RNP_domain)_putative)". The record is from RNAcentral. Lineage: Eukaryota; Euglenozoa; Kinetoplastea; Trypanosomatida; Trypanosomatidae.